RNAcentral lists this long non-coding RNA (1427 nucleotides) under Equus caballus (horse). RNAcentral describes it as "lncRNA (ENSECAG00000051691.1)". Lineage: Eukaryota; Metazoa; Chordata; Mammalia; Perissodactyla; Equidae. The record is from RNAcentral.
GUUGCUGUUAUUGGUCUGGGAUACGGCCUGACCACGGGGAGUUUUAAAAGCUCCUUGGUGAUUCUAAUGAUUCUAAAGAAUGCCCAGGUCCUGGGAGAUGAUUACGUUCCAUGAAACAGUGUGAUUGAUUGACCUUUUGAAAUGUCAGCAGUGGCUCCCCGCUCUAGGGGAUUUGUGUGCUUCAUCAGCCCUUGCCUCCUGGGCCAUGUGAGCAAACCAAUUCUGUAAUCGGCAAGACAGCAGAAAGUGGGGAGCCUGGCAACUGCUCACGGGCAGGAUCCUGGAGGAACUGGGGCACAAAAUCAUCCCUAUCGUUUAAACAAACCAGGACUGGGUUUGGAAACCAGACAGUGGCAGCGGGGAAGAGCUGCGAGUCACCCAGAUCUGUUCCUGGGUGGGCGCUAACUUAGACACCCUCCUUCCUGAAGAAGAGGGAAGCUCACCUAAGCCUUGGAAUUGCCAUGGAUGCUUAGCUGCUGCUAAAAGGAAUGACCACGUGCUUAUGAGCUGGUGAUGAUGCAAUGGGAAAGGGCUCUUCCCACACUUGCCGCUACCAGGCCUCCCGCACCUUCUCAUACGGUUGGAGACUCGGCUCUCUGGGUUUGGGCUGUGGCCUUCCAAGGGCCUAGGGAAGACGUGAUGGCUGCCAGAAGGUCUUGGAAGUUGCUGUUGGUGGGGCCUCCCUGCCCUGCUUGACGUUUACUCCCCCACGUCAUCCUUCCCCUGCGCAGCAUCCCGUGGCUUUCAAAGCUGAGGGAUAUAGCACACCAAGAGGGAGGGAGGGGAUUAAGUCAUCCGAUUUCUGUUGCCUUGGUCGGAAGUGGAAGAGCCAUGUGGAAGGGGACUGGCUGGAGCUAUGUGCUCAUGAGUAUUUAUGUAUCUGCAUGUCUGUAGUUCACACAAAGGUUGAACAAAAUCUCCUUCUAGCAAUCAGAAAGCUCUGUUAUGUGACAUUUAGGAAAUUUCCCAGCACAAAAGAUGGUCAAGAUUCUAAAUGCUGACUGAAAGCCUUAGGAGAGUCUUAAAUGUCUUCAGAUUCAUCAAUUAUUAAGUUGUAGUUACGUUAUUUUAUUCCUUGAAAAAUUGGUAGUUCUAAUAUGGUAACUCCGGUAACUUUAUUUUAACCAAGAUAGUUACCUAACCAGCAGAUUCUUUUCAUAACCAUGCUCAGUAGAAGAUGUAUUAUCAGUUUUCUAGUAUUGAAGUUUCUGUGCGAUGUGAAUGAUUCAAAUAGCUGAGAAGUACUAGAACCACCCAGUACGUGUGUGUACAUGUGUGUGCAUGUGUGUGUGUCAGGGGGAGAAGAGAGAGGGAGGUGUAUGUGAGUGAGUCACAGAGACUUUCUGGAAGAGGGGCAACUUCAUCUGGACUCUGAAUAAUGCAAGGGAGAUGGUGAGGAGAUGGGUGUGUAAGGAGAUGGUGAGGGC